Molecule: non-coding RNA, 187 nt
Filed under: Candidatus Omnitrophota bacterium
Lineage: Bacteria; Pseudomonadati; Candidatus Omnitrophota
Description: 6S RNA
Rfam family: 6S / SsrS RNA
About the family: E. coli 6S RNA was the first non coding RNA to be sequenced, but its function was unknown until recently.
Source: RNAcentral
UUAUCCCUGCUGUGUGCGUGGCGGUUGAAUGAAAUUUUGAACCAACACCUUUAUAUAGGGAGCCUGAUUUUUCAAGGUAGGUAAGGCACGCUCUUUUAACAGAGAGAAACCUCGAAGCCUUGAAUAGGGCACCCACUUAUUAUAAGGGUUCAAAGUCCUUCGAUCGCCCGGCAUAAGCGGGGAUUUU